This is a non-coding RNA of Oreochromis niloticus (Nile tilapia), 499 nucleotides long. NCBI's taxonomy places the organism in Eukaryota, Metazoa, Chordata, Actinopteri, Cichliformes, Cichlidae. The record is from the annotation of a RefSeq genome assembly.
CUGUGCAAACAGUGAAUGAUUUUGUUGAGUUUGUUUGUUUCAGAGUCAGAGAGCCGUGUCUCUCUACAGUCAGAGGUUUUUGUGCGGCGCCUCAAUGAGUUUGUAUCACUGUGGUGGACUUUUGGUGGAGGAACCAGACUGAAUGUUGGAAGUGAUGCCCGCCCCGCCCUGAAGGUGCUGGGUCCCUCCAGUGAGGAGCUGAAACAGGGGAAGGCCACGCUCAUGUGUCUGGCCAACAAGGGCUUCCCCUCAGACUGGAGUCUGUCCUGGAAGGUGGAUGGCAGUGGCAGCAUCAGCUGGGAGGAGAGCAGGAGCCCCGUGGUGCUGCAGAAUGACGGCCUCUACAGCUGGAGCAGCACCCUGAGGCUCCCUGCAGACCGCUGGAUGAAGGUGGGCUCUGUGACCUGUGAGGCCACCCAGGGCUCCCAGACUCUGGUCUCAGAGCCACUGAGGAGAGUCCAGUGUUCCCAGUCCUGAUGUCAAUCACUGAGUCUUUGAU